RNAcentral lists this long non-coding RNA (1774 nucleotides) under Rhagoletis pomonella (apple maggot). RNAcentral's name for it is "uncharacterized LOC118749711". The record is from RNAcentral. Lineage: Eukaryota; Metazoa; Arthropoda; Insecta; Diptera; Tephritidae.
CUGGUUGGUUUUUCUGAGACACGUGGUUAGCGGUCCUAACAAUUAUGGAGAUGGUGCGUUUGCUGUUGGUGGAGGUGGCGAUGAUGUUGUUGCGAUUCCUGAAUCUUCAAGUUAUGAAGAUGGUGCGUUUGCUAUUGCUGAAGAAGCUACCAUUGGGCCUCUAGAUGCCUCAUCCAAUACUGCACUUUCUAUCGAUUUAAGUGAUUGUGCUAAUUAAUGCUUCCACUAGCACAAGAAAGAAUUUUCAACAAACGUUUUUGGGCGGUGGCUGGAAAUGUUUACCUGGCUGGAAAGUAGGAGUGGCAAAAGCUUUUGGCCCUUACGGAUAAUAAGAUUGCACGUAUAAUAGAAAGUUGGGACCAAAAUGAAGAUAAGUUUCUUGAAGACGAUGAUGACACAAAUUUUGAAAUCAAUAUAUGCCGGUGCGAAAAUAAUGAAGAAUUGACAGCGGAAGAAAGUUCUUGUGUGGCAGAAAACACUUUUGCAGAGAAAAAUGCUAAUACGAAUACUCCAAUUUGUACGCUUGUCAAAGAAAUCCUGAAAAAGCGGAGCAGAUUGAUAAAGAGGAUUUGUGAAAGUUUUUGGGAAUAUGCGUCAAUAUGUCUGUAGUUCAGAUCCCAAACAUUCGUAGAUAUUGGACACCCAUUGCAGCAAACAAAUUGAUUCAAGAAACUAUGUCUGUUAACAGAUUUGAAAAAAAUUAAUUCAAUAUUGCAUUUUAACAAUAAUGAUGAUAUGAAACCAAAAGAUGAUCCACAUUUUGACAGACUUUUUAAGCUUCGUCCAAUUGUAAAUCAUUUGGUUAAAAAAUUCAAAUCAGUUCCACUUGAAAGCUGUCUCUCUGUAGUUGAACAACUAUGUUCCACCAAAUGCAAAUCAUAUUUGAAACAGUGGGGAACAGAAUUCCAAAUUUGAGGCUUCCCGAUGAAAAAGCUAUGAUAAAGAAAUCACGAGGAGAGUCCUGCGAAUUUGUUGCAACCGUGGAAAAUUUUGAUAUAUCUGUGGUUUCUUGGAGAGACAACAAAAUUGUAAAUUUGAUGUCAAACUAUUGUGGGAAGGCUCCUGAAAAGCAGUUGAAAGAUUCGACAAAAAGUUGAACAGAAAAGUAUCCGUUGCUUGUCGAAACAUAGUUGCAGAGUAUAAUAAGUUUAUGGGAGACGUAGAUUUAUUAGACUCAUUUAUUGGUCGAUAUAUAAUCAAAAUACGGUGUAAAAAAUGGUACUUGAGGCUCUUCAUUCACUUGCUAGAUACAGCCAUUGUAAAUUCUUGGUUAUUAUAUAAGCGCGCUGAAGCCCAGAAAGGUAACCCCAUAAAAGAAAAUUCGGCAGAUUUUCGCUUAAAAGUAGGAGAAACCCUGUGCAAAAUGGGAGAAGUUUCGACACCAAGCGGUAGACUUUCGGAACUUAUGAGAAAUCUGGCUCUUAAGAGAAAUCACCAGCGAAGUUUACCUAUUCCUGAAAAUAAAGUGCGUUUGGACCAUACGGAUCAUUGGCCAAAGUGGGUAGACAAUCGCGUAACUCCCAAAAUACCAGGUUGCCGAGGAUAUACCUUUGUAAAGUGCGAAAAAUGUAACACAAGUGUUUGCUUUAACAAACCAAGAAAUUGUUAUAAAAAAUUUCGUUUCGAAUAAAUAUGAGAACGUUUUUUUUAAAUUAAAUCUUAUGUUAUCGCUACAAAUUAAUGUGAUGUAAUUAAAAAGAACAAAUUAUGUGAAUGGAUCACUACGUUGUUUUAAAAAAAUUUUACCCAAUAAAAUACGAGUUAGUAAAAAUUU